UACGUAGGUGGCAAGCGUUGUCCGGAUUUACUGGGUUUAAAGGGUGCGCAGGCGGAUAUGUAAGUCAGUGGUGAAAUCUCCGGGCUUAACCCGGAAACUGCCGUUGAUACUAUAUAUCUUGAAUGCUGUGGAGGUAAGCAGAAUAUGUCAUGUAGCGGUGAAAUGCUUAGAGAUGACAUAGAAUACCUAUUGCGAAGGCAGCUUACUACGCAGAUAUUGACGCUCAUGCACGAAAGCGUGGGGAUCAAACAGG
This 253-nucleotide ribosomal RNA is filed under the name uncultured bacterium. Its description in RNAcentral is "partial 16S ribosomal RNA". It matches the Rfam family "Bacterial small subunit ribosomal RNA", at positions 524 to 776 of the family's 1533-position model. The record is from RNAcentral.